This 460-nucleotide ribosomal RNA is filed under the name uncultured bacterium. Its description in RNAcentral is "partial 16S ribosomal RNA". It matches the Rfam family "Bacterial small subunit ribosomal RNA", at positions 338 to 795 of the family's 1533-position model. The record is from RNAcentral.
CCUACGGGUGGCAGCAGUGAGGAAUAUUGGUCAAUGGACGAGAGUCUGAACCAGCCAAGUAGCGUGAAGGAUGACUGCCCUAUGGGUUGUAAACUUCUUUUAUAUGGGAAUAAAAUGUUCCACGUGUGGGAUUUUGUAUGUACCAUAUGAAUAAGGAACGGCUAACUCCGUGCCAGCAGCAGCGGUAAUACGGAGGAUCCGAGCGUUAGCCGGAUUUAUUGGGUUUAAGGGGAGCGUAGGUGGAUUGUUAAGUCAGUUGUGAAAGUUUGCGGCUCAACCGUAAAAUUGUAGUUGAAACUGGCAGUCUUGAGUACAGUAGAGGUGGGCGGAAUUCGUGGUGUAGCGGUGAAAUGCUUAGAUAUCACGAAGAACUCCGAUUGCGAAGGCAGUUCACUGGACUGCAACUGACACUGAGGCUCGAAAGUGUGGGUAUCAAACAGGAUUAGAUACCCCGGUAGUC